AUUUGGGAGUUGUCUGUUAUGUAGUGUAAUUCUUUGUGUUUUGGAUUCUUUGUAGGUUUGGCAAUUAGUUCGUGUUACUAUCGAUCGAGGAUUUUUAGCAGGAAUUACUUGGGUCUGAAAAGCUUCCUGGAAGUGGUGGUGUAGUGUUGGAGAUUAAAAUUAUGUAGUAGUGCAGCUUCAAUGAUGUCAUGUUACUUGAUUUUUAUUAAAUGCGUAUGCUUACAAC
RNAcentral lists this long non-coding RNA (226 nucleotides) under Hordeum vulgare. RNAcentral describes it as "long non-coding RNA (HVUL_LNC008290)". The record is from RNAcentral. Lineage: Eukaryota; Viridiplantae; Streptophyta; Magnoliopsida; Poales; Poaceae.